CAGUCGUACCUUCGGGUAAUCAGCCUUUCGAGUGCGAUUCUGUGGAGUGUGAGGAGCUAAUCACCCUCAUGGUUUGCAUAUUCGUGCUCUUGGGUGUAUUUGCCCGUGUGGUAGGUUAACAUCAAUUUCGGACGUCAUAAAAUGAUUGGAGGAAUGUAGCUUUGAUCUCGUAUCGAAGUGUUAUAGCCCUCGGUAGAUGUGGUGAUCGAGAUUGAGGAUUGCAACGGAUACCCUUCGGGGCUACCUGUCUGGUCUCUG
Molecule: ribosomal RNA, 258 nt
Filed under: uncultured Glomeromycotina
Lineage: Eukaryota; Fungi; Glomeromycota
Description: partial large subunit ribosomal RNA
Source: RNAcentral